RNAcentral lists this long non-coding RNA (3210 nucleotides) under Mytilus galloprovincialis (Mediterranean mussel). The record is from RNAcentral. Lineage: Eukaryota; Metazoa; Mollusca; Bivalvia; Mytilida; Mytilidae.
GUCGUCGCAGACAAUUUACAUUCAAUCCAUAGUAGCUGUAGAUGUUAUGUGCUUUAUGGAGUGUCUUGGUAACGUUUCCGCUAACAAAAGGGAAAAGUUUUAACAUGUGUGUACGCGGAUGUCUUCGUAAGGACAAUUUAUCACAAGAACACAUUUGAACACUAGCAGCAAGUUUGGAUACCAUGGAUAAUAAAGAUUUCUAGUGAUUUUAUUUGUUGUAUUUAAACAUUUUAGCAGCUAAACAUUCCCUUGUAAAUUUUUCAUUCAGAAUUCCUAAAACAAGCUUUAUGCUAAAUUCUCUUUGCAAAUGAAAAAUAAAUGUUUUGUUUAAGGAUAACUCCUUAGAUUUCUCGAAGACAUUGAUGUCACUUGACAGGAAGUACGGACGCAACUGCAUUUUUCCACCAUCAAGACAUCGAAGGAGAAAAUUGUACAUCUUUAUAGUUAUCUCAGAUACGUCAAGUUCGUCUACUGAUUGGUUUAUCAUUUUCAGUUUGUCCAGUACAUAAAACACGCUAUUUUUUAACAUAUAGCUUUUAAUUAAAUUAGAUGGGCAUGUGCGACGUGGUUUUUCAUAUUCUAGGCUUACUUCCUCCAGCUUGUAUUGUUUUGUUUCAACAUCAAUUUCAGGACAUACGCUUUUCAAAAUUUUUGCAAGGACAUAAGCUUGUCGAAAAUUAUUUGGAAUUGACUUCAUAAGGCAAAUCUCUGCAGGAGCGGCUGAAAUCCGCAACAUUCUCUUCUUUGCUAAAUCUACGUCAUUGUCUUCAGUAUUACAUGUUCGGCUGAUACAGCCGCUUUCGUGAAUAUAAUUUUGGCGGGCUUUUGUUUGCAGCGUCAGGAAACAGCCGGCUGCUUUAAUGCAUGGACUAACAAGAGGUAUUUUGUCAACAUCAGUAUUGAUUGGCCACCAUCCUCUUUUGUAAACUGCAGGAACAAGAUCUAUACUGAUUCUCAGUUGCUUAUAAACAGAACCCAGCCAAUACACAUCAAAAGUAAACACGGGUUUAGCGAAAAUUUUCCCCAUCUUAUUUUCAACGUUAUAGUAGAAAUUUCCCUCCUUCCAUAGAUUAGAUUCAUUCAGUGCUCUUUGCAAAUAAUCGUAGAAUAAUCUCAGAAAUAAAAUAGGCAAGAAAUAGCCAUCAGCAUCAGUAAAUGGUAGAUACUCGUCAAGAACUUGUGUAGAUUUAAAUUUCAGAGAAGCAAAUCCAGAUUUCAAAAGAUUGUCUGUCAGUACAAUGUCAGUUAUAUCAUUUAACUUAUCUAGACAUAAAAUAAAAUCAAAUUCAUCUGGACGGCCAAUUUUUGUUCCUUCAGCCAUGCUUCCAGAUGGAAAAACUGACAUUUCAAAUCUAGAAUCGUAUUUUUGAAUUUGCUUACAAAGCAACGUGACAAGAUUGUUAACAUUGAAUGUAACAGAUUCUACUUCAAGGAAAUAUUUGGGACUUCUGGUAUAAAACGACUCAAGAAGGUAGUUCAUGAAGUCUUUUAAAUUCAAUGGUAGUUGUAACAGUGUCUGAAUAUCUUGUGUUGAUUUCAUACAAGACGAUAUUAUCGUCUCCGGUAGUCCUUGAAGAAUUUCUUCAAACGUCUUGUCUCUAAGCAUUGUUUUUCGAAUGAAUGUCAUGAUGUGUUCUAUUGCCGUUCUGUCUGCUGCUUUUAAUAGCGCAAUGCAUCGAAAACUAUUAUGUCUCUGUGCUGUAUCCAGAGGUCUUUCUUGGAGAUUAUCGCGAGCAUUUAUAUCUGCACCAUAUUUUAACAACAUCUCUAUUUGUUCCUCAUAAUUGUGGUACGCUGCAAAAUGUAAAGGUGUAGAUCCAUAUAUGUCACUGGAAUUUACAUUUACUAUCCCCUUUAUCAGGAAGGUUCUGAAUAAAUCUGGUAAAGGUCUAUAUUUCAUGAUAGACAUCAAAGCACUUCGACCCCAUCUAUCAUUAAUUUCUAAAUCUGCAUUGAACUUACAAAAAAUAUUAAAAAUGUGCUCACUUAACGUCAAGGAUAAAACAGAUUCUCCGUACAUGUUUUGUGCGUUUAUGUUGGCACCAAUUUCUAGGAGAUAUUCUAAUACAUCUCCAUACGCCUCUCCAUGUGAAACACCACAAAUUUGAUGCAAUACUGUAUUUCCAAGUGUAUCAUUGACUUCAAGAGACACACCAUAGCUAAGGAUUGUUUUCAGAUUUUCAGCAGUUGUAUAGUCCCCUGCGCCAAUCAUUAAAUUCCAUGGCGUUCUUCCCAAAACAUCUCCACUGGAUAACAAUGCCCUUAAACUAGAGUGAUCAGAUUUUGCAAUGGAUUCAAACAAUUCCAUAACCUCUUCUACAAGUUCAUGGGUAACAUAAACAUGCAAAAAGUUUUCAUUCUUUUUGUUAAUCAAAUUUAAAUUUGUGUCAGGAAAAUUCGCAAUAAAAAACUUCAAUAACGGCGUGUUUUCCUCCCUCGUAGCAAUGAGAUGUAGGAUACCGUUUCCGAAUGUAGUCUGAUUGUUAACAUCGAUUCCGGCAUUGAUGAGAGCUUGCAAAGACUUUCUUAGUUGAAUACUAAAUGUUCGUUUAGUACGAAGUGGCAAUUCGGGUAUGUCAGCGUUAUCGGAUGAGAGUAGAUCCAUUACUGGCAAAUUGUCAUCUGAAUUGCUACUUUCCCCAUCAUUCGCAGCAAUGAGACUCUGUAGGGCGUUGUAUCCGUUUAUAUCUCUGCUAUUGAUUUCAAUACCAGAACACUUUGUCAAUAUCUCAAUAUUUUGUAAACAACCAGAUAUUGCAGCAUAUUGGAGUGGCGUUUGGCCCCACUUAUUACGGGCGUUGAUGUCUUCACCCUUUGUCAAUAAAUUCGCAAUGUUAACUUUCCCGUCUUGGUUUUUAUUUUUGGCUGCUAAAUGUAGAGGUGUUUCACCUUUUGUGUUAACUACGUUGUAUUUGAUCAAUUUUCUGCUUGUUGCCAUUUCUCAGUUAAGAAACUACACAAAAGUGUAUUAUUUUCUGUAGAUUAAAAGCCAACAGUAAUGAUUAACUUCCUUCUCAUUUAUCUGUCCCCCAUAUUGCAUGCUAGUAACUGGCUUCAUAACUUGAAAUCGAUUGAAAAGUCUUUGACAGGCAGAAUGUCUUGAUCACAAUAUCUGCAAAACAAAACGUGCUUGAAGAUAAUAAUACAAAAAUUGUUUUUUUUAUGUCUGUUAUUUUUCAAAUUAUAUCGUACGAUAUAUAUAUAAAAUGU